GAUGAACGCUAGCGGGAGGCCUAACACAUGCAAGCCGAGCGGUAGAGUCUCUUCGGGGCCUUGAGAGCGGCGCACGGGGGCGGAACACGUCUGCAACCUGCCUUUAUCAGGGGGAUAGACGUUCGAAAGGAAGAUUAAUAACCCAUAAUAUAUUGAGUGGCAUCACUGGAGAUCGAAAACUCCGGUGGAUAGAGAUGGGCACGCGCCAGAUUAGAUAGUUGGUGAGGUAACGGCUCACCAAGUCAGUGAUCUUUAGGGGGCCUGAGAGGGUGAUCCCCCACACUGGUACUGCGACACGGACCAGACUCCUACGGGAGGCAGCAGUGUGGAAUACUGGACAAUGGGUGAUAGCCUGAUCCAGCCAUCCCGCGUGAAGGACGCCUGCCCUAUUGGUUGUAAACUUCUUUUGUACAGGGAUAAACCCAGAUACGUGUAUCUGGCUGACGGUACUGUACGAAUAAGCACCGGCUAACUCCGUG
RNAcentral lists this ribosomal RNA (479 nucleotides) under uncultured bacterium. Its description in RNAcentral is "partial 16S ribosomal RNA". It matches the Rfam family "Bacterial small subunit ribosomal RNA", at positions 28 to 507 of the family's 1533-position model. The record is from RNAcentral.